UAUGCACUACUCUCUUCAGUACGAAAGGACCAAGAGAAUGAAACCUAUAUUCACAACAAGUUUCCCCCACCCCGAAAACAAUAUAAAACCUGUAGUAUCCUUUCCCCCCAAAAACAGGGC
Molecule: ribosomal RNA, 120 nt
Filed under: Varanus tristis
Lineage: Eukaryota; Metazoa; Chordata; Lepidosauria; Squamata; Varanidae
Description: partial 16S ribosomal RNA
Source: RNAcentral